This 5397-nucleotide long non-coding RNA is filed under the name Brassica napus (rape). RNAcentral describes it as "long non-coding RNA (BNAP_LNC007719)". Lineage: Eukaryota; Viridiplantae; Streptophyta; Magnoliopsida; Brassicales; Brassicaceae. The record is from RNAcentral.
GCGUACGGGAGAAGCAGCGACGGCGAGGGAGCGGGUGGCAGCCGCGGAGGAUGAGUUUCUCGGCGAGAUCGGUGUCGGAAGGGCAAGUAAAGAAAGGAGUGUAGUUCAUGUACUCGUGGAGGAGGUCGGGGUAGUUGUGGCAGGCGGAAGCUAUGGGAGAGAGCUUAGAGUAGAGGAGGAGAUCUUUCGGCGGCGCGGAGGAGGAAAUGGUUGAUGAAGUUGAAGUAGAUUUGUCCGGCUGGUGGUGGGUUGUGAGGUGGUUGAUGGCGGAGCGGAUAGUGUGGAGCUGACGGAGGAGGUGGUCGGGGACAGUGGGGACAGAGGACGGUGAGGAUUUGAGGGUGGAUUGGAAGAAGCUGGUGGUGGAGGAGAGAUGGUAGAGAGAGAGGAUGUUGGUAGCUACCAUAGCUACUAGUAGAAGCAGAUUUAAGCUCAUAGUGAAUCCCGCCAUUGUUGUAGCUCCCUUUCUCCUCUCAGGAGCUUCUCUCAGAUCCAAGUUCUUCAAUCUCUGUUUCGUCACACAGAUUCUUGGUUAUUUUUUUCCUGAGAGAGAACCUGAUUCUUGGGCUUUAAUGGUGUCUUAAAGCCAAGAUUUCUGGGUUUUUUCAGGCUGGAUUCUUGGAGUUAGUGACACUUGAGUUAGAUAAACUUUUCAUCAAAGAGGAGACCUUUCAAGUCAAAGUCUUGUAGCAGUAGAGAUACAAACAUAGAUCUGAUCUGAGUGUAUGUAUAUAGUUUUAUGUAAUUUUAAUUUACUUACAAUGGAAAAAGGCAUUUAUUCGGAUCCAAUGUCAUUAUUGAUUUCCCAAAAUUUGCAUGGAAAAAGUAACAAUCCUGGUGAAAAGUUGUACUGUACUAAAAUCAUCUUAAGGCACGUAGGGAAAUUUAACACAUUUGUUCUGUUCACAUGUCUUGUCUUUUGCUUACCUUUUCAUAUACUAGUUAUGUGUUAUUAUUGCAGUAAAAUGUCAUAAAAAAAGAUUUGUUUCAUCUACUAGUAUCAAAACUUAAUCGAGUUUGUCUACUGGAAACAAAAACUAGAGCUUGCUUAAUCAAAACUUUAAAAGCAUCUUACUCAGUUUAGUCCAUAUAAUCACUCUCUUAGUUAUCUUCACACAUGAUUCCAAAACUGAGGAUUAUGUGUGUUUGCUGCUACAAUGUGGUUAGGAUUAUGUGUUUACAAAGUACAAACUAUGCACUUGAAAUGUAACGGAGAACACAAAAUAUAUGAGAACCAAGGAUCAUUGUGUGAAACCAGUAUCUUUACAAAUGGAUCAAUUUGAGCAUAAUUGUUGAGGAAACCAAAUGAAAAAAGCCCAAUGCAGGCAACAGAUCCAUAAAAUGUUAAGAAGCCGAAGCAAAACAACACCAAGUGACUUCAUUUAUUUAUUUUACUAGGUGUUUUCCUGCACCAUGUUCAAUAAUUUUUUUUUAAAAUCUAAUUUAUAUUUAAAAAUAAAUUUUAUUAAAUAUUAUAUACUUUACUAUUUUCUUACUAAUAUUUAAUAUAGAUUUGAUAUAUAUUAAAUCAAUUUGCAUAAAACUAAUAAAAAUUGUAUAAUUAUCAAAAAUUUAGCCUAAUGGACCUCUCAGUCCUCGAAGAACCAACCUGAUUAGAGAUUUUCAAAUAUAAGAAAUGCUUUUAGAGCCAUUAAUAAAGUGAGCUAAAAGGAGCCGAAGAUCUCACCUUGGAUAUAUAACCCCGGAUAGUGUUUGUUGCUUUAUAAAUCUCAUACUCCAUAGAUUGUCCCCAUGGAAAAUUCACCCAAGACCUCAACGUACUAAGAUCCGUCAAGUCAUGAGUCGGUAACUGAGCAGCAGGACUUACUUGGUCCAUCAGAUAAGGCUGCACAGUCUCCAGCCUCACACAACACACAUCACAAACCCUUUGAGGAUCCGAAACGCGGAACUUCACCGGAAGCAAGCUUCUUCCUUUAGAACAGUCUCUGCAGAACAAUCCUCCACAGUAUCGACAGUGAUGACGCGAACACAUGAUCGGAUGAAACCUCACGCUACAGAGCAUACAAGCAGAAGCAGCACUAUCUGGUAGCCACUUUGGUGGCUCUGUUUCGAGAAUCUCUCUCGCGUUGCCAAAGUUGGCUUCGGUGAGAGUGUGAGCCAUCUCUUGCCAAGCUUGUUCGAGAAGAUGUUGUCCCGCGAAAAAUGAAAUGCCGCUCUCGAGGUUGCCUGAAGUAAGAGCGGUUGCUUUACCACGUGCUGCGAGUAACAUAUCGACUAUCACAUCCCACAUUGUUAGCUCCUUGUCUUCAUCAAGGAUCUGGUUCCAUCCCAUCUCUCCCUCGGGGAAGUAACCACCGUUGAAGCUAAGCCCUCUUGACCAUUCCUCAUGAUCAGGCUCCAGCAUUGGUGGGACUGAAACUGGUAUCCAAACACCGGUUUCUUCAGAAAGUGGUGUGUCAUAGAAAAAGUAUUUACCACGCUUCUGCUGAUCUGGUUCAAGUUUGUUGCUCUCGUCUUUACGUAAGGUAGAAUCUUCUUGUCUAGCCUCCCUGAUGGUUUGACUUGCAACAUUACCAGCAUUAGAAUCACCAAGAUUGACAUCCUAUGAUCAACAAUCAGAGACGGAGAAAGUUAGAACUUUUAAAUCAACCUAGUAUAGAUUUCGUUUGAUCUAGAGAAGGAAAAAUAAAAGAAUUUAAACAACAUACCAUUCCGAGCUUCAAAUUUUGAUAAUCUGAUUCAAGUCUUUUGCUAUCGUCUUCACGUAAGGUAUAAUGUUCUUGUAUAGUCUCCCUGAUGCUUUGACUUACGACAUUACCAGCAUCAGAAUCACCAUGAUGAUCUCGAACACUGUCAUCCUAUGAUCAGCAAUCAGAGAAAAGAACUUCAACAAACCAUUUCGAGCUUAAAGUUUAGACCUUUGAGCUCAACCCUAGUAUAGAUUUAGUUUGGUUUAAGACAAGGAUUCAAAAGAUGAAAAGAACAAACCAUUUGGAGCUUCAUAUUCUGAUGAUCUGGUUCAAGUCUUUUGCUCUCGUCUACAAAGCCUUCAUCCAAGGUAGAAUCUUCUUCUUCUUUAGUCUCCCUGAUGCGUUGCCUUACGACGUUACCAGCAUCAGCAUCACCAUGAACUCCUUUAUCCUAAGGUAUAAACAAUGAGACAGAAACGAAAAAUUAACCAAAGCAUUUCGUGUUAAAGUUUAGACCUUUAAACCCAAACCCUAGUAAUUCCAUUUGAUUAAGCCACCGACACAUCGAAACUAAAAACUAAAAACACCAAACACAUGUGCGAUGUCUAUGAGAUGACGAUCAUUAUCAAAAUUAACCCUAGUAUUAUGAUCGCGUAAAAAGCCGAACAAAAUCGAUUCGACUCACCAUCUUUUUUAGAUUUGAUCCUUCCUUCCUUCCUUCUCUCGACUUGGAUUCUUACGAUUUUGAGUUCCUUUCGUUUGGGGAAAAAACUCAGCAAACACAAACACGCGACUUCAUCCAGAGGGAAACGAUUACAAGUUAACACCUUUCUCAUACGAUUUUACUUCUAUUUUAUUACUCUGUUUUACAUUUAAGUCCUCAUAUUUUAUACCUUUUUUAUAUUUGGACCCCAAACAUUCGUUUUUGAUAAUUUACUCCACAUUUUAGAAAGGAAAGUGCAACAGAACCCACAAAGAAACUGUCUUAAUUCUUCUUUUGGUUGUCUGGAUUUGUUUGUAUAGAGUAAAUUAGUAGGCAAAUGAAGAGUGGGAGCUUAUCUUGGUUGAGCAUUGCUAGCACAAAAGAACUCUCACAAAUGAAGCAAAACCAAGUGCACAAGAGAAACUAGAAAAGGUUAAGCAAGUCAGGCUCAGAUUAAGUUCGAAUUUGUGGUCAAUCUCAUGCUCUCAGACCAUGUAUUGUGGGCUUGGAUAACAUACUUGUGCCUAUGUCAGGUUGGUAAGGGAUUAUGGAAAAAUAAUAAAAUCGUCAUAAACUCUGAGAAGCUUUAGCCAAAAAAAAGAAAAAAAAAAAACUUUCAGAAGCUUAAAUUCAAUCCUAAAACUUCUUAACGGUUCUUAUCUGCAACUGCAAUCUGCCUUCACAAAAAAAUAAAACAUAUGUAUAUAUAUAAGCCAUGACAGAAGCAAACGGAAGAAGCCAUAAAAUUAUGUAUACCACCACUUAUCAGUCCCUCUAACAAACAAUACAUCAAAUCUUUGCCCCCCCUACUUGAUCCAAGACAAUAUUGUUGCUUGUGUGCUUCCAGCUGGAAAAAAAAGACUUCAUGUUCUUCCAAACCUUCAACAACAGUAUGCUGUUUUCUUCAAACAUGCACGUUCUGAAACUCUCGAGGAAAGUGCCUGCAAAACAAACCACAACUUUUGAUCAGACGUGAAACCAGAAACAAAGACACAACGUGACUGAGCUAGAAAAUUGCACUGUUCAAAGCAACAACUCAAAACCAACGUUUCUGGAUUGUGAAUCUGUGACUACGUUAAUUCUCCAAAGCUAAACCAUGUGAUCAAGAAGAUGCACAGUUUACCUUAAUCAUCAUUAUCUUGCAACAGGUUUUUGAAGCAGAGCUGUCAAGAAAACUUCACCAUGUUUCGAAUCAACUUUGUUCGCCACCGCCCACUUCACCUUCUUAUAACCCAACUUCCCGAUCAUCGGCGCAUACACAUUCUCAAGAUCAACCUUUUUGCUAAAAAACCGGUCCAACCAUAGAUAACCACCACCUCGAAGAACCCGGUCCAAAUCAAACAAGAAAAACUCCAUAACCGUAACCGGAAUCCACCGGUUCACCGCCCGUCCACACCUAACCAAAUCCACCACACCGUCAAACACCGGAAGCCUCUGCUGGAGAGGCACGUGGAGCGGCACGAGCCCUCUCAACGCCACCGCCUCGCUAUACGGCGCGUUGAAGUUCAUCGUCGUGGUCAGGACGGUUACAUUGCGAGCCUUCAUCGCCGCGGCGAAAGAUCCGGUCCCACCGCCGACGUCGAUCCCGAGCCGGAGGACGGAGUUGGCGGUUUUGGCGAUCUGGAGGAGCUGAGAGAUGGGGAGAUCGAGCUCGGACUUGUAAGAAGAGAAUUGAGAUUUGGAUUUGUGGAGGGAGAGAUCGAAACCUAGACCGGGGAACUUCGUCGUCAAGCAAUCGAAAGUCUUGCACGAGUAGUAAGACCAGAUAACGUUCGACUCCGGUUUGGAAUCGGUCGGGUUUCGCGGCGUACGGGAGAAGCAGCGACGGCGAGGGAGCGGGUGGCAGCCGCGGAGGAUGAGUUUCUCGGCGAGAUCGGUGUCGGAAGGGCAAGUAAAGAAAGGAGUGUAGUUCAUGUACUCGUGGAGGAGGUCGGGGUAGUUGUGGCAGGCGGAAGCUAUGGGAGAGAGCUUAGAGUAGAGGAGGAGAUCUUUCGGCGGCGCGGAGGAGGAAAUGGUUGAUGAAGUUGAAGUAGAUUUGUCCGG